Gorilla gorilla gorilla (western lowland gorilla) is the source of this 2090-nucleotide long non-coding RNA. RefSeq lists it as uncharacterized. The transcript is spliced from 2 exons. NCBI's taxonomy places the organism in Eukaryota, Metazoa, Chordata, Mammalia, Primates, Hominidae. The record is from RefSeq and is a predicted model, not a curated record.
CAGACGCAGUCCGAGAGUCCAGACGCAUGCCGACUGGAGGACCAAAGAGAUUAGCACGAGGAAGGAUGAUCUUCCACAAAAAGAGCUAUGUACAGCUAUAAUGGAAAAUACUCGGUGAGGAGAAAGGAAAUAAAAGGCAAUACAGCGUAGCCAAACCCGGGUUAGCUGCCGGUGGAGUUCAAGAGCGCGCCGCGGUCCCGCCCCCGCCAGCCCCGCCCCGGCGAGAAAACGUAUGCAAAUUUUCGAGCGGCCGACGCGCGGUCUUCUGGGUAAAACCGAGCCGCCACUUUUGCGACCCUUCAGGAGCCUCAGAAAACAAAGAAUUGGGGUGUCGUCGAAAACUGUGGAGGCUGGAGGUAAGCUAGCUACCAGACCGACUAGGGCGAGGCUCACGAAUUAAUUACCACAACCCUACCAGGUAUUGGCGCUUCCUGCUUGCAGCGCAGGAAUUAUCUAUCGCAACCAUCCUUUUCUUGGGGUUGCGCUACUGUCCAAUGAGCGCAUAGUGAGGGCAGUACUGCUAACACCUAAACAACACACUCGCAUCAACUAGAGCUUUGCUUUACCUUGGUGCAAUUUUUGGAAAAAUGGAAACCCGUUUUCAUAGACUUACAAGUUCAAACAACAGUAAGUCAUAAAUAAGCUGGUACUUUGUCAUUGAACCAACAGAGAGUGCACAAAACGCGUGGUUUUAAUGUCGUAAGGAAGGUUUUCAGCUUUCGCGGUGAAAACCAGAAGGAUUCCAAUGAAACUUUAGCCCGUUAACCUUACGGCGAUCAUCGACUGUUCUGUAACUCCUUUAUGAGUACAGUAUGAAGUGGAGGAGUAACUAUCCUGCAGAGAAAACUGACAGACGCAACCUCAGCCAGACGGUGGAGGUCAACAUCAAGUACACGUCAUAUGAUGUCAUGCAAACGGCAUUUUGCCUCUGUGAUAGUCCUUCCCAAGACCCUUAAGCCCAGUCUAAACAUGAGGAAAACAUCAGAGAAAUUCCAAUAGAGGGGCAUCCUACAAAACACCUGACCAGUGCCCCUCAAAACUGUCCAGGUCAUCAAAAACAAGAACUCUGAGAAACCGUCACAGCAACAGCAGCCAAGGGAAACAUAACAACUAAAUGUAAUGAGGUAUCCUGGAAAAGAGUGUGAAACAGAAAGAUGACAUUUUUCCUUAGGUAGAAACUAAGGAAAUAGGAAUAAAGCAUGAACUCUAGUUAAUAAUAAUACAUCAAUACUGGCUCAUUAAUUGUAAUAAGCCACAUUAAUGUUAGAUAUAAUAAUGAGAUAUUUGUAAUUUUUCUGUAAAAAAGUUUAUUUUUUAAAAAGAACAGCCCAUCACUUAAGUGAGUUAUUUAGCUUUUGUCUGGUGAAAUCUUAAGCUUAUCUGCACGGUUGCAUUACUGUUUGCAGGUAGGGGUGUUAUUCAUGACAGAAACAUCCCUUCAUACAUCGUUCAAGGCUAAGGUAAAGAGGACUAUUGUUUAUUUGGGGGAAAGCUGACGUCAGCUUUUCCAGGAUGGCAGUUUACUUGGUAGGUCUGAGCAGAGAAGGCCUCGCUGAGCCCCGGACAGUCAAGUUUCAAUGCGUUGCCUAGAGGAACUGGGGAGCCUGGAAACUCCCGAAGAAGACUGAGUGGGUAGAUGCACCUGAGCCCCAGAGAAAUAGGACAGGAGAGGACCAGGGUGCCAGCCAGGAGGACAGAAGGCAGUUCCAGGCACUUUCACAGCUCAGGCCCUUCUCCUGGGUUUCCAUUUCCCUACUGAAGAAAGGGAUACAUGAAAAAGUCCUUGCCCAGAAGACCACUCUGAUAAUUAACUAUAAAAACCUCUUUGUGCCUAAACCUCCUCAUCUGUAAAACAUGGACAAUAAUAACAGCUGCCUCGUGGGUUGUUGUGAGGAUUAAAUAAAGUGUGUAUGUAAACUGUGCCUGGCACGUGGUAAGGGUACUUUUUUUCCCCCCCCAUUUCUGCUUUCUUCAGCCCUUAGGUUUAUAAAACCAACUUCUUCUGCAUGGCUCACUGGAAUACACAAUUCUGUUUUAUGGAAUGAGGUGUUACCUGAUUCUAAAGUCACGAAUAAAAGUCAAUCAAAAUC